This 458-nucleotide ribosomal RNA is filed under the name uncultured bacterium. Its description in RNAcentral is "partial 16S ribosomal RNA". It matches the Rfam family "Bacterial small subunit ribosomal RNA", at positions 28 to 507 of the family's 1533-position model. The record is from RNAcentral.
GACGAACGCUGGCGGCGUGCUUCAUACAUGCAAGUCGAACGAGAAGCUGACUUCGGUCAGUGGAAAGUGGCGGACGGGUGAGUAAUAUGUAGGAAAUCUGCCUUUAGGAGGGGGACAACAGAGGGAAACUUCUGCUAAUACCCCAUAUGAGCGUAGCUGAAAUGCUAUUCUUGAAAACUCCGGUGCCUAAAGAUGAGCCUGCAUCUGAUUAGCUAGUUGGUAGUGUAAUGGACUACCAAGGCGACGAUCAGUAGCUGGUUUGAGAGGAUGAUCAGCCACAAUGGGACUGAGACACGGCCCAUACUCCUACGGGAGGCAGCAGUAGGGAAUUUUGCGCAGUGGGCGAAAGCCUGACGCAGCAACGCCGCGUGAACGAUUAAGCCCUUCGGGGUGUAAAGUUCUGUCAGUGGGGACGAAACUUGACGGUACCCACAGAGGAAGCACCGGCUAACUCCGUG